Molecule: ribosomal RNA, 447 nt
Filed under: uncultured bacterium
Lineage: Bacteria
Description: bacterial SSU rRNA
Rfam family: Bacterial small subunit ribosomal RNA
Source: RNAcentral
GGUUAACGCUGGCGGCGUGCCUAACACAUGCAAGUCGAACGGUUCUAAGCGCGAGCUUAGGAUAGUGGCGAACGGGUGAGUAAAAGGUAGGAAUCUACCCCUUGGACGGAGAUAGCUACUGGAAACGGUAGGUAAACUUCGAUAAGCCCGAGAGGGGAAAGUGGUGAGACAGCCGAGGGAUGAGCCUACUCUCCAUCAGGUAGUUGGUGAGAUAAAAGCUUACCAAGCCGAUGACGGAUAACCGGUGUGAGAGCAUGAACGGUCACAAGGGCACUGAGAGACGGGCCCUACUCCUACGGGAGGCAGCAGUGGGGAAUCUUGGACAAUGGGCGAAAGCCUGAUCCAGCGACGCCGCGUGGAGGAAGAAGUCCUUCGGGUUGUAAACCUCUGUCAUGGGGAAGAAGGAAGUGACGGUACCCCAACGAGGAAGCCCCUGCUAACUACGUG